This 989-nucleotide ribosomal RNA is filed under the name uncultured Moryella sp. RNAcentral's name for it is "bacterial SSU rRNA". The stretch from base 6 to 499 matches the Rfam family "Bacterial small subunit ribosomal RNA", at positions 33 to 541 of the family's 1533-position model. The record is from RNAcentral. Lineage: Bacteria; Bacillati; Bacillota; Clostridia; Lachnospirales; Lachnospiraceae.
GAUGAACGCUGGCGGCGUGCCUAACACAUGCAAGUCGAACGGGAUGCGUAUUGGAAAGCUUCGGCCGGAAGAUACGUUAUCUAGUGGCGGACGGGUGAGUAACACGUGGGUAACCUGCCUUAUGGAGGGGGAUAACAGAGAGAAAUCACUGCUAAUCCCGCAUAAGCACACAGUACCGCAUGGUACAGGGUGAAAAGAUUUAUCGCCAUAAGAUGGACCCGCGUCUGAUUAGCCAGUUGGCAGGGUAAAAGCCUACCAAAGCAACGAUCAGGAGCCGAUCUGAGAGGAUGACCGGCCACAUUGGGACUGAGACACGGCCCAAACUCCUACGGUGGGCAGCAGUGGGGAAUAUUUCCCAAUGGGGGAAACCCUGAUGCGGCGACGCCUCUGUAGUUAAGUAGUAAUGCGGUAUGUAAAGCUGCUGUCAUCGGGGAAGAUAAUGGCCAGGUCCUGGACUAUAGAAGCCCCCCUGCCUGACUACCUUUCCGUCUGGCCGCGUGUAUUUCUGUGUGUGCCAUGGUUUGUUCUGUUUUUUCUGGGGGUUGAAGGGAAUGCGUGCACGUGAUGUGUGGCUCCUGAAUUGAUUGUCCCUGGUGCUAGAUCUGUUAUGUGUCUUGUGGAACCUGUGUUUUCUAGUGUGGUGUGAAAGAUGAGUGAGUGCCCGCGCCUGACCGGUGUAAAUUGUGAGAGUUUGUAGAGAAUGACCUGUCUGUAACCGUUGUGAUUGUGUGUGUUGUGGUUGUGCGUGUGUGUGUAUGUGAGUGUGUGUGUUGAUGAGUAAGUGAUGCUUGCUCUGCUGCUCUGCAGUGCUGUGCUAUAUUCUGCUUACAGAUGUGAUAGUAUAUUGCUCGCUCCGACGGGCUACGUCCCACUCCUCCCGUCGCUCGCUGUGUGUUCCUGCCUGUGUGCGGAUGGAUAUACAUAUAUGAUAUCACUCUGAAGUGAUGAGUUGAUUACGCUGGAUAGCUCUAGGUAUCCACUAGUGUGUG